AGAGUUUGAUCCUGGCUCAGGACGAACGCUGGCGGCACGCUUAACACAUGCAAGUCGAACGAGAGAAGAGGAGCUUGCUUUUCUGAUCUAGUGGCGGACGGGUGAGUAACACGUGAGCAAUCUGCCUUUCAGAGGGGGAUACCGAUUGGAAACGAUCGUUAAUACCGCAUAACAUAAUUGAACCGCAUGAUUUGAUUAUCAAAGAUUUAUCGCUGAAAGAUGAGCUCGCGUCUGAUUAGCUAGUUGGUAAGGUAACGGCUUACCAAGGCGACGAUCAGUAGCCGGACUGAGAGGUUGAUCGGCCACAUUGGGACUGAGACACGGCCCAGACUCCUACGGGAGGCAGCAGUGGGGAAUAUUGCACAAUGGAGGAAACUCUGAUGCAGCGAUGCCGCGUGAGGGAAGAAGGUUUUAGGAUUGUAAACCUCUGUCUUCAGGGACGAAAAAAGACGGUACCUGAGGAGGAAGCUCCGGCUAACUACGUGCCAGCAGCCGCGGUAAUACGUAGGGAGCGAGCGUUGUCCGGAAUUACUGGGUGUAAAGGGAGCGUAGGCGGGAUCGCAAGUCAGAUGUGAAAACUAUGGGCUUAACCCAUAAACUGCAUUUGAAACUGUGGUUCUUGAGUGAAGUAGAGGUAAGCGGAAUUCCUAGUGUAGCGGUGAAAUGCGUAGAUAUUAGGAGGAACAUCAGUGGCGAAGGCGGCUUACUGGGCUUUAACUGACGCUGAGGCUCGAAAGCGUGGGGAGCAAACAGGAUUAGAUACCCUGGUAGUCCACGCCGUAAACGAUGAUUACUAGGUGUGGGGGGACUGACCCCUCCCGUGCCGCAGCAAACGCAAUAAGUAAUCCACCUGGGGAGUACGACCGCAAGGUUGAAACUCAAAGGAAUUGACGGGGGCCCACACAAGCAGUGGAGUAUGUGGAUUAAUUCGAAGCAACGCGAAGAACCUUACCAGGUCUUGACAUCGUAUGCAUAGCUCAGAGAUGAGUGAAAUCUCUUCGGAGACAUAUAGACGGGUGGUGCAUGGUUGUCGUCAGCUCGUGUCGUGAGAUGUUGGGUUAAGUCCCGCAACGAGCGCAACCCUUACUGUUAGUUGCUACGCAAGAGCACUCUAGCAGGACUGCCGUUGACAAAACGGAGGAAGGUGGGGAUGACGUCAAAUCAUCAUGCCCCUUAUGACCUGGGCCUCACACGUACUACAAUGGCUGUCAACAGAGGGAAGCAAAGCCGCGAGGUGGAGCGAACCCCUAAAAGCAGUCUUAGUUCGGAUUGUAGGCUGCAACCCGCCUACAUGAAGUCGGAAUUGCUAGUAAUCGCAGAUCAGCAUGCUGCGGUGAAUACGUUCCCGGGCCUUGUACACACCGCCCGUCACGCCAUGGGAGUCGGUAACACCCGAAGCCUGUAGUCUACCCGCCAGGAGGACGCAGUCGAAGGUGGGAUUGAUGACUGGGGUGAAGUCGUAACAAGGUA
This 1470-nucleotide ribosomal RNA is filed under the name metagenome. RNAcentral's name for it is "bacterial SSU rRNA". It matches the Rfam family "Bacterial small subunit ribosomal RNA". The record is from RNAcentral.